This 253-nucleotide ribosomal RNA is filed under the name uncultured bacterium. RNAcentral describes it as "partial 16S ribosomal RNA". It matches the Rfam family "Bacterial small subunit ribosomal RNA", at positions 524 to 776 of the family's 1533-position model. The record is from RNAcentral.
UACGGAGGGGGCUAGCGUUGUUCGGAAUUACUGGGCGUAAAGCGCGCGUAGGCGGCAUAGCAAGUUGGGGGUGAAAGCCCGGAGCUCAACUCCGGAACUGCCUUCAAAACUGCUAAGCUAGAGUUCGGAAGAGGAGAGUGGAAUACCCAGUGUAGAGGUGGAAUUCGUAGAUAUUGGGUAGAACACCAGUGGCGAAGGCGACUCUCUGGUCCGAUACUGACGCUGAGGUGCGAAAGCGUGGGGAGCAAACAGG